This 71-nucleotide ribosomal RNA is filed under the name uncultured bacterium. RNAcentral describes it as "partial 16S ribosomal RNA". The record is from RNAcentral.
CCGGCCGUCGAGGAGGGUGGACGGCCACAUUGGGACUGAGACACGGCCCAAACUCCUACGGAAGGCAGCAG